RNAcentral lists this ribosomal RNA (424 nucleotides) under uncultured Saprospiraceae bacterium. RNAcentral's name for it is "bacterial SSU rRNA". It matches the Rfam family "Bacterial small subunit ribosomal RNA", at positions 355 to 776 of the family's 1533-position model. The record is from RNAcentral. Lineage: Bacteria; Pseudomonadati; Bacteroidota; Saprospiria; Saprospirales; Saprospiraceae.
UAAGGAAUAUUGGUCAAUGGUGGGAACACUGAACCAGCCAUCCCGCGUGCAGGACGAAGGCCCUCUGGGUUGUAAACUGCUUUUACCAGGAAAGAAACGAGUGGAUUCAUCCGCUCCUGACGGUACCUGGGGAAUAAGCACCGGCUAACUCCGUGCCAGCAGCCGCGGUAAUACGGAGGGUGCAAGCGUUAUCCGGAAUCACUGGGUUUAAAGGGUGCGUAGGCGGCUUGAUAAGUCAGGGGUGAAAGCUCACCGCUCAACGGUGGAACUGCCCUUGAUACUGUCAGGCUCGAAUUGGGUUGAGGCAGGCGGAAUGUGGCAUGUAGCGGUGAAAUGCUUAGAUAUGCCAUAGAACACCGAUUGCGAAGGCAGCCUGCCAAGCCUUGAUUGACGCUGAGGCACGAAAGCGUGGGGAGCGAACAGG